UACGAAGGGGGCUAGCGUUGCUCGGAAUCACUGGGCGUAAAGCGCACGUAGGCGGAUCUUUAAGUCAGGGGUGAAAUCCUGGAGCUCAACUCCAGAACUGCCUUUGAUACUGGGGAUCUCGAGUCCGGGAGAGGUGAGUGGAACUCCGAGUGUAGAGGUGAAAUUCGUAGAUAUUCGGAAGAACACCAGUGGCGAAGGCGGCUCACUGGCCCGGUACUGACGCUGAGGUGCGAAAGCGCGGGGAGCAAACAGG
RNAcentral lists this ribosomal RNA (253 nucleotides) under uncultured bacterium. RNAcentral describes it as "partial 16S ribosomal RNA". It matches the Rfam family "Bacterial small subunit ribosomal RNA", at positions 524 to 776 of the family's 1533-position model. The record is from RNAcentral.